This 1196-nucleotide ribosomal RNA is filed under the name Bacillus sp. (in: firmicutes). Its description in RNAcentral is "bacterial SSU rRNA". It matches the Rfam family "Bacterial small subunit ribosomal RNA", at positions 35 to 1246 of the family's 1533-position model. The record is from RNAcentral. Lineage: Bacteria; Bacillati; Bacillota; Bacilli; Caryophanales; Bacillaceae.
GCGGGGCGGGGGCCUAUAAUGCAGUCGAGCGAACUGAUUAGAAGCUUGCUUCUAUGACGUUAGCGGCGGACGGGUGAGUAACACGUGGGCAACCUGCCUGUAAGACUGGGAUAACUUCGGGAAACCGAAGCUAAUACCGGAUAGGAUCUUCUCCUUCAUGGGAGAUGAUUGAAAGAUGGUUUCGGCUAUCACUUACAGAUGGGCCCGCGGUGCAUUAGCUAGUUGGUGAGGUAACGGCUCACCAAGGCAACGAUGCAUAGCCGACCUGAGAGGGUGAUCGGCCACACUGGGACUGAGACACGGCCCAGACUCCUACGGGAGGCAGCAGUAGGGAAUCUUCCGCAAUGGACGAAAGUCUGACGGAGCAACGCCGCGUGAGUGAUGAAGGCUUUCGGGUCGUAAAACUCUGUUGUUAGGGAAGAACAAGUACAAGAGUAACUGCUUGUACCUUGACGGUACCUAACCAGAAAGCCACGGCUAACUACGUGCCAGCAGCCGCGGUAAUACGUAGGUGGCAAGCGUUAUCCGGAAUUAUUGGGCGUAAAGCGCGCGCAGGCGGUUUCUUAAGUCUGAUGUGAAAGCCCACGGCUCAACCGUGGAGGGUCAUUGGAAACUGGGGAACUUGAGUGCAGAAGAGAAAAGCGGAAUUCCACGUGUAGCGGUGAAAUGCGUAGAGAUGUGGAGGAACACCAGUGGCGAAGGCGGCUUUUUGGUCUGUAACUGACGCUGAGGCGCGAAAGCGUGGGGAGCAAACAGGAUUAGAUACCCUGGUAGUCCACGCCGUAACGAUGAGUGCUAAGUGUUAGAGGGUUUCCGCCCUUUAGUGCUGCAGCUAACGCAUUAAGCACUCCGCCUGGGGAGUACGGUCGCAAGACUGAAACUCAAGGAAUUUGACAGGGGCCCGCACAAGCGGUGGAGCAUGUGGGUUUAAUUCGAAGCAACGCGAGAACCUUACCAGGUCUUGACAUCCUCUGACACUCUAGAGAUAGAGCGUUCCCCUUCGGGGACAGAGUGACAGUGUGCAUGAUGUCGUCAGCUCGUGUCGUGAGAUGUUGGGGUAGUCCCGCACGAGCGCAUCGUGAUCUAGUGGCAGCAAUUAGUGGGAAUCUAGUGACUGCAGUGACACGAGCAGGUGGGAUGACGUCAUCUCAUGCUUAGACUGGUCUACACGUGCUACAUUGCAAUGUUACAAAUGG